CCCUUAGAUGUUCUGGGCCGCACGCGCGCUACACUGACGAAGUCAGCGAGCAUCUCCUACGCCGAAAGGUGCGGGGAAUCUUGUGAAACUUUGUCGUGCUGGGGAUUGAUUUUUGAAAUUCUUGAUCAUCAACGAGGAAUUCCUAGUAAGCGCAAGUCAGCAGCUUGCGUUGAUUACGUCCCUGCCCUUUGUACACACCGCCCGUCGCUACUACCGAUUGAAUGGUUUAGUGAGAUUUUUGGACUGGAACUCUCUUGUUCAGCAAUGAACGAGAGGGACUCUGGGAAGCUAUUCUAACUGUAUCAUUUAGAGGAAGUAAAAGGCGUAACA
Molecule: ribosomal RNA, 330 nt
Filed under: uncultured eukaryote
Lineage: Eukaryota
Description: partial 18S ribosomal RNA
Rfam family: Eukaryotic small subunit ribosomal RNA
Source: RNAcentral